CCGGAAAGCAUCUUGUGGACGGAGAGCUCAGACGAGCUGGAAGCAGUCUGGCAGCUGAUGGGUCCGCUUGAGCAGGGGGAAGGAAGUCCAGGUCAAGACCCGAGCAGCCGUGUUGUGAACCAUCUGCAGGCCUCUAAAACAUUUCAUUGGUAACCCAGACAGGAGAGCAUUAUAAUAAUCAAUGCGCAAAGACACAAAUAUA
Fundulus heteroclitus (mummichog) is the source of this 202-nucleotide long non-coding RNA. RefSeq lists it as uncharacterized. NCBI's taxonomy places the organism in Eukaryota, Metazoa, Chordata, Actinopteri, Cyprinodontiformes, Fundulidae. The transcript is spliced from 3 exons. The record is from RefSeq and is a predicted model, not a curated record.